RNAcentral lists this ribosomal RNA (253 nucleotides) under uncultured bacterium. Its description in RNAcentral is "partial 16S ribosomal RNA". It matches the Rfam family "Bacterial small subunit ribosomal RNA", at positions 524 to 776 of the family's 1533-position model. The record is from RNAcentral.
UACGUAGGGUGCAAGCGUUGUCCGGAAUUAUUGGGCGUAAAGAGCUCGUAGGCGGUUUGUCGCGUCUGCUGUGAAAACCCGAGGCUCAACCUCGGGCCUGCAGUGGGUACGGGCAGACUAGAGUGCGGUAGGGGAGAUUGGAAUUCCUGGUGUAGCGGUGGAAUGCGCAGAUAUCAGGAGGAACACCAAUGGCGAAGGCAGAUCUCUGGGCCGUAACUGACGCUGAGGAGCGCAAGCAUGGGGAGCGAACAGG